UGUUUUCAAUGGUGGUUUUCACAUAAUAAAGUUUGAAAAUCAAAGUUUCAAAACAAUUAUUUCAUCCAGCCUCUUACCUUAACGCCAAAAAAUAAGCAAAAUCAGUUCAGCCUUUGUGACGGUCAUCGGAUUCAUAAAGAAAGCGAACCAAGUCAAUAUCCCAAAUGUUGAUUGAUGAUUAAAAUUGGUAGCAAAAGGGGGGGGGGCAAUUCGACACCUUGAGUUGACAAAGACGAAAAUAUUCGUCUCAAGACGAAUUGGAGACUCGUCAACUGCAGUUGGACGAAGCUAGAUCUGCAAGAUCAGUGGACGAUUCUAGUCUAAAGAUUGAGCUAGAGGAGAUAUUCCUUCUGAAGAUGGAACAGCGCGCCGUGUUCAUGAGGCAGAGCAAGAAGUUAGACGAAAAGGAUGGUGUAAUUUGGGUUCAACGAGUUCUUCUUUGGGUGAUUUUUUUCAUCUUUGCUUUUGUGUUCUUGAUCUUUCUAUUCAACGAGGCUGAAAGGUACUGAAA
Molecule: long non-coding RNA, 511 nt
Organism: Eurytemora carolleeae
Lineage: Eukaryota; Metazoa; Arthropoda; Copepoda; Calanoida; Temoridae
Exons: 4
Source: RefSeq, a predicted model, not a curated record